RNAcentral lists this microRNA precursor (83 nucleotides) under Cercocebus atys (sooty mangabey). RNAcentral's name for it is "mir-1270 microRNA precursor family". It matches the Rfam family "mir-1270 microRNA precursor family". RNAcentral also lists the same sequence under 1 other name. The record is from Rfam by way of RNAcentral. Lineage: Eukaryota; Metazoa; Chordata; Mammalia; Primates; Cercopithecidae.
CACAAUGUUAUACUGGAGAGCAGGAAGAGCUCUGCUGGGUAUAAGUAACAGGCUUUUCUUUUUAUUCUGUGUGGCUCUUUGCA